AUGGCCGGGCCCGCUGACCCGCGGCGGCUGUGCCGGCUGGUGCAGGACGGCCGGCUGUGCACCCUGCGCAGGGAGCUGCGGGCGGCGGGGCACGCGGGCUGCGCGGGGCCGGCCGGGGACACCCUCCUGCACUGCGCCGCCCGCCACGGCCGCCGGGACGUCUUGGCCUAUCUGGUUGAGACCUGGGACCUGGACAUCGAAGCCGCCAACCGGGACUACAAGCGGCCUCUGCACGAGGCUGCCUCCAUGGGGCAUCGGGACUGCGUGCGGUACCUGCUGGGCCGGGGGGCCGCGGUCGACUGCCUGAAGAAGGCCGACUGGACUCCUUUGAUGAUGGCCUGCACGAGGAGAAACCUCGAGGUGAUCCGGGAUCUCGUGGAGCACGGCGCCAAUCCACUCCUGAAGAACAAAGACGGCUGGAACAGUUUUCACAUCGCCAGCCGCGAGGGCGACCCUCUGAUCCUCCAGUACCUGCUUGCAGUUUGCCCCUCUGUCUGGAGGACAGACAGCAAGAUCGGGAGGACCCCGCUGCACACGGCAGCAAUGCAUGGCUGUUUAGAGGCAGUAGAGGUGCUUCUUCAGAGGUGCCAGUACGAACCGGACUGCAGAGACAGGUGUGGCCUCACGCCCUUCAUGGAUGCCGUUCAGUGUGGCCACACGGACGUGGCCAGGCUGCUCCUCAAAAAGCACAAGGCUUGCGUGUCUGCUGAGGACUCACUGGGGGCCCAGGCCAUCCACCGGGCAGCAGUCACUGGGCAGGAUGAAGCCAUCCGAUUCCUGGUCUCGGAGCUUGGCGUCGACAUUGAUGCAAGAGCAGGAUCUACCCAUCUCACGGCACUUCACUUCGCAGCUAAGGAAGGUCACGUGAGCACAGUCCAGAUGCUCUUAUCCUUGGGUGCUGACAUCAACUCCAAGGACGAAAGAAAUCGAUCAGAACUUCCCAUGGGAUCCCUGCCACCGAGGGCUGCUGGGGGCUGCCAGGUCCUAGGAAAUGGGCAUGACUAAACAAGCGAAUGUGUCAAGACAACAUGGCAUUGCAAAACCCUCUGGUCACUGUGUCAUUUACAGUUAAAUAUAAGAAGUUGCAGAACAGACAAUAACAUUUGUCUUGUUGGAGGUUUAUAGCAACGUUGUGACCAAGACCUUACAUGGACAGCUGCAAGAACAAAGGAUUCUGCCACCAAGAUGUUAGCAACAACCAGUCACAGCAACUCCCCUGCCCUUUUUAGUAUAAAAGGAGCCCUGUGAUUGCAGCCAUGAAAUUAAAAGAAGCUUGCUCCUUGGCAGAAAAGUUAUGACCAACCUAGACAGCAUAUUAAAAAGCAGAGACAUUACUUUGCCAACAAAGGUUGGUCUAGUCAAGGAAAUGGCAACCCACUCCAGUACUCUUGCCUGGAGAAUCCCAGGGACAGGGGAGCCUAGUGGGCUGCCGUCUAUGGGGUCGCACAGAGUCGGACAUGACUGAAGCGACUUAGCAGCAGCAGCAGUAGUCAAGGCUAUGGUUUUUCCAGUAGUUGUGUAUGGAUGUGAGAGUUGGACUAUAAAGAGAGCUGACUGCUGAAUAAUUGAUGCGUUUGAACUGUGGUGUUGAAGACUCUUGAGAGUCCCUUGGACUGCAAGGAGAUCCAACCAGUCCAUCCUAAAGGAGAUCAAUCCUGGGUAUUCAUUGGAGGGACUGAUGCUGAAGCUGAAACUCCAAUACUUUGGCCACCUGAUGCGGAGAGCUGACUCAUUUGAAACGACCCUGAAGCUGGGAAAGAUCUUGAGGGCAGGCGGAGACGGGGACGACAGAGGAUAAGAUGGUUGGAUGGCAUCACUGACACAGUGGACAUAGGUUUGGGUGGACUCCGGGAGUUGGUGAUGGACAGGGAGGCCUGGCAUGCUGCAGUUCAUGGGGUUGCAAAGAGUCAGACACAACUUAGCGACUGAAAAAUAACAACAAGAU
Budorcas taxicolor (takin) is the source of this 1945-nucleotide RNA transcript. It is a transcript of the gene named ankyrin repeat domain 16, with no coding region annotated. The record is from RefSeq and is a predicted model, not a curated record. Lineage: Eukaryota; Metazoa; Chordata; Mammalia; Artiodactyla; Bovidae. The transcript has 8 exons.